CUGUUCGCCGAAGCAGGAUGACUAAAACGAUAUCUGACGGGGGCAGUUUUCUCCUUACCAGCAGCCACAAGCGAUUACUCAAGAAAAACACCUUUAACCCGAAGCUUUUAAGUCAAUCUCAAAAAGCAGCAAUUGCAGAAUUCACAAAAUAAGCAACAAGAAACCAAACCAUGGAAGAGAAUUAUUCCCAUGAAAUGAGACCAGAGAUGGACUUCUUUUAAAAUGCUCUGUCCUCUGCCUCCAGGUGCACCCUGAUGAUUUUCUG
Polypterus senegalus (gray bichir) is the source of this 265-nucleotide long non-coding RNA. RefSeq lists it as uncharacterized. The transcript has 3 exons. The record is from RefSeq and is a predicted model, not a curated record. Lineage: Eukaryota; Metazoa; Chordata; Cladistia; Polypteriformes; Polypteridae.